CGAGCGGCGGACGGGUGAGUAAUUGUCAGGGAAACUAGCCUGAUGGAGGGGGAUAGCUACUAGGAAACGGUAGCUAAUACCGCAUAACGUCGCAAGACCAGAGAGGGGGACCUUCGGGCCUCUUGCCAUCAGAUGUGCCCAGAUGGGAUUAGCUAGUAGGUGGGGUAACGGCUCACCUAGGCGACGAUCCCUAGCUGGUCUGAGAGGAUGACCAGCACACUGGAACUGAGACACGGUCCAGACUCCUACGGGAGGCAGCAGUGGGGAAUAUUGCACAAUGGGCGCAAGCCUGAUGCAGCCAUGCCGCGUGUAUGAAGAAGGCCUUCGGGUUGUAAAGUACUUUCAGCGGGGGAGGANAGGUGUGUCGGUAAUAACCAACAGGAAUUGACGUUAACCCGAAGAAGAAGCACACGGAUAAAAUUCCCGUGCACAGCAGACCGGGGGAAAUACGGCAGGGUGCAAGCGUUAAAUCCGGAAAUCACUGGGCGUAAAAGAGCACAGCAAGNGAGGGCCUAGGACAAAAGCCGGGACAUCAGUGGACAAUACCCCCAGGGGAGAUCCCAAACCUCGGGGAAACUUAGAGGAUUCCACGAAAAUCCA
This 600-nucleotide ribosomal RNA is filed under the name uncultured bacterium. Its description in RNAcentral is "bacterial SSU rRNA". The stretch from base 1 to 468 matches the Rfam family "Bacterial small subunit ribosomal RNA", at positions 92 to 543 of the family's 1533-position model. The record is from RNAcentral.